This 865-nucleotide ribosomal RNA is filed under the name uncultured organism. RNAcentral describes it as "bacterial SSU rRNA". It matches the Rfam family "Bacterial small subunit ribosomal RNA", at positions 637 to 1501 of the family's 1533-position model. The record is from RNAcentral.
AGUGCUAGAGGGCGACAGGGGUAGAGGGAAUUCCCAGUGUAGCGGUGAAAUGCGUAGAGAUUGGGAAGAACACCGGUGGCGAAAGCGCUCUACUGGGUCGCACCUGACCCUCAGGGACGAAAGCUAAGGUAGCGAAAGGGAUUAGAUACCCCUGUAGUCUUAGCCGUAAACGAUGGAUACUAGGCGUGGUUUGUAUCGACCCAAGCCGUGCCGAAGCUAACGCGUUAAGUAUCCCGCCUGGGGAGUACGCACGCAAGUGUGAAACUCAAAGGAAUUGACGGGGGCCCGCACAAGCGGUGGAGGAUGUGGUUUAAUUCGAUGCAACGCGAAGAACCUUACCAGGGCUUGACAUCCCGCGAAUCUUGCUGAAAGGUGAGAGUGCCUUCGGGAGCGCGGAGACAGGUGGUGCAUGGCUGUCGUCAGCUCGUGUCGUGAGAUGUUGGGUUAAGUCCCGCAACGAGCGCAACCCUCGUCCUUAGUUGCCAGCAUUAAGUUGGGCACUCUAGGGAGACUGCCGGUGACAAACCGGAGGAAGGUGAGGAUGACGUCAAGUCAGCAUGCCCCUUAUGCUCUGGGCGACACACGUCCUACAAUGGUCGGGACAAAGGGGAGCAAGCUCGCGAGAGUAAGCGAAUCCCAGCAAACUCGGCCUCAGUUCAGAUUGCAGGCUGCAACUCGCCUGCAUGAAGGAGGAAUCGCUAGUAAUCGCAGGUCAGCAUACUGCGGUGAAUUCGUUCCCGGGCCUUGUACACACCGCCCGUCACACCAUGGAAGCUGGCCAAGCCCGAAGUCGUUACCCUAACCGUUUGGAGGGGGGCGCCGAAGGCUGGGCUAGUGACUGGGGUGAAGUCGUAACAAGGUAACC